UCCGUCCAGGUUAAACCUAGAGGCACUCUUCAAAGACAAAUCUUUAAUUGUAUUAUAUUGAAAUAAUUUAAUCAAAAACUUGAACAACUUAGAACGGGGGUUUCGUUCGUUUGUGGAAGUUAAUCCUACGUCUCACAACACGAUCUUACGACAGCCAUGCAACACUUGUCAUUUUCGCACUUCAAAUCUGUAUAAGAAAAGAAGAAUAAAAACAUGAUAAAGGAUCGGUAAGGUUCUUCGAGGGUAAUCAAUUUACACAGCAUGCUCCACCGCUAGUAAGAACUCCCGUCAAUUCCUUUGAGUUUCAACCUUGCGAUCGUACACCCCAGGUGGACCAUUUAACGCGUUAGCUGUGAAAUCCAGAAUGUAGAAAUUCUAAAUCUUAAUGGUCAUCGUUGAC
This 400-nucleotide unclassified non-coding RNA is filed under the name uncultured bacterium. Its description in RNAcentral is "contains 16S-23S intergenic spacer region". The record is from RNAcentral.